RNAcentral lists this ribosomal RNA (732 nucleotides) under Vibrio sp. RNAcentral describes it as "bacterial SSU rRNA". It matches the Rfam family "Bacterial small subunit ribosomal RNA", at positions 56 to 768 of the family's 1533-position model. The record is from RNAcentral. Lineage: Bacteria; Pseudomonadati; Pseudomonadota; Gammaproteobacteria; Vibrionales; Vibrionaceae.
UGCAAGUCGAGCGGAACGAGUUAUCUGAACCUUCGGGGAACGAUAACGGCGUCGAGCGGCGGACGGGUGAGUAAUGCCUGGGAAAUUGCCCUGAUGUGGGGGAUAACCAUUGGAAACGAUGGCUAAUACCGCAUAAUACCUUCGGGUCAAAGAGGGGGACCUUCGGGCCUCUCGCGUCAGGAUAUGCCYAGGUGGGAUUAGCUAGUUGGUGAGGUAAUGGCUCACCAAGGCGACGAUCCCUAGCUGGUCUGAGAGGAUGAUCAGCCACACUGGAACUGAGACACGGUCCAGACUCCUACGGGAGGCAGCAGUGGGGAAUAUUGCACAAUGGGCGCAAGCCUGAUGCAGCCAUGCCGCGUGUGUGAAGAAGGCCUUCGGGUUGUAAAGCACUUUCAGUCGUGAGGAAGGUAGUGUAGUUAAUAGCUGCCUUAUUUGACGUUAGCUACAGAAGAAGCACCGGCUAACUCCGUGCCAGCAGCCGCGGUAAUACGGAGGGUGCGAGCGUUAAUCGGAAUUACUGGGCGUAAAGCGCAUGCAGGUGGUUUGUUAAGUCAGAUGUGAAAGCCCGGGGCUCAACCUCGGAAUAGCAUUUGAAACUGGCAGACUAGAGUACUGUAGAGGGGGGUAGAAUUUCAGGUGUAGCGGUGAAAUGCGUAGAGAUCUGAAGGAAUACCGGUGGCGAAGGCGGCCCCCUGGACAGAUACUGACACUCAGAUGCGAAAGCGUGGGGAG